Molecule: ribosomal RNA, 457 nt
Filed under: uncultured bacterium
Lineage: Bacteria
Description: bacterial SSU rRNA
Rfam family: Bacterial small subunit ribosomal RNA
Source: RNAcentral
UACGGAAGGCAGCAGGGGGAAUAUUGCACAAUGGGCGAAAGCCUGAUGCAGCUAUGCCGCGUGUAUGAAGAAGGCCUUAGGGUUGUAAAGUACUUUCAUCGGGGAGGAAAAACAAAACUAAUAAUUUUAUUUCUUGACGUUACCCGAAAAAGAAGCACCGGCUAACUCCGUGCCAGCAGCCGCGGUAAUACGGAGGGUGCUAGCGUUAAUCAGAAUUACUGGGCGUAAAGAGCACGUAGGUGGUUUUUUUAAGUCAGAUGUGAAAUCCCUGGGCUUAACCUAGGAACUGCAUUUUGAAACUGAAAUACUAGAGUAUCGUAGAGGGAGGUAGAAUUCUAGGUGUAGCGGUGAAAUGCGUAGAUAUCUGGAGGAAUACCUGUGGCGAAAGCGGCCUCCUAAACGAAUACUGACACUGAGGGUGCGAAAAGCGUGGGGAGCAAAACAGGGAUUAGAUACC